Molecule: non-coding RNA, 116 nt
Organism: Brachypodium distachyon (stiff brome)
Lineage: Eukaryota; Viridiplantae; Streptophyta; Magnoliopsida; Poales; Poaceae
Source: Rfam
CAGGGUACCCAUUGACCCUCCUUAGUUUAACCAAAUGAACUAAAAUUUUAAAAUAACACAACUUUUUGAAAAACUAGUUCAUUUGUUUGAACUAAGGAGGGUCAAAGGGUACCCUA